This 444-nucleotide ribosomal RNA is filed under the name Triticum aestivum (bread wheat). Its description in RNAcentral is "partial small subunit ribosomal RNA". Lineage: Eukaryota; Viridiplantae; Streptophyta; Magnoliopsida; Poales; Poaceae. The record is from RNAcentral.
AUGCAACGCACAAGAAUUCUCCUUCAAACUACCAUUCCUGCCCUGUUGGGGUUUUGUGACAACUUUGUAAAACUCAUAGCAUCAAAGUUGAAGGUCAAGGACACGGACACGGACACGGUGAUCCCAGCAAUGGCGAAUCCGUGGCAUCAAGGUGGCUCCCGGAAAUACUUGUCAUCAAAAUGGAUGGAAAUGGAUGUAUCUACAACUAAAAUACAUCUAGAUACAUCCAUUUUCAAUGACAAGUAUUUCCGGAAGGAGGGAGUACAUCACAAGGUGCGGCCGAGGUCGGUCAUAUCCUGCAUAUUUACGAGGCCGCUCCCGGGAAGAUGGUUAACCGGGAUAAGUCGUCUAUCUAUCAUGUCCAGCAACAACACUAGGGAGACCUGCCGUCAAGCAUGUGGUGACGCAGGCGCUAGGGUUGCAGCAACGAACGACCAAUGGUAA